GACGAACGCUGGCGGCGUGCUUAACACAUGCAAGUCGAACGGAAAGGCCCUGCUUUUGUGGGGUGCUCGAGUGGCGAACGGGUGAGUAACACGUGAGUAACCUGCCCUUGACUUUGGGAUAACUUCAGGAAACUGGGGCUAAUACCGGAUAGGAGCUCCUGCUGCAUGGUGGGGGUUGGAAAGUUUCGGCGGUUGGGGAUGGACUCGCGGCUUAUCAGCUUGUUGGUGGGGUAGUGGCUUACCAAGGCUUUGACGGGUAGCCGGCCUGAGAGGGUGACCGGCCACAUUGGGCCUGAGAUACGCACCAGACGCCAACGGUAGGCAGCAGUGGGGAGUAUUGCACAAUGGGCGGAAGCCUGAUGCAGAAACGCCGCGUGCGGGAUGACGGCCUUCGGGUUGUAAACCGCUUUCGCCUGUGACGAAGCGUGAGUGACGGUAAUGGGUAAAGAAGCACCGGCUAACUACGUG
This 468-nucleotide ribosomal RNA is filed under the name uncultured bacterium. RNAcentral's name for it is "partial 16S ribosomal RNA". It matches the Rfam family "Bacterial small subunit ribosomal RNA", at positions 28 to 507 of the family's 1533-position model. The record is from RNAcentral.